This 311-nucleotide long non-coding RNA is filed under the name Homo sapiens (human). RNAcentral's name for it is "HSALNT0388332". The record is from RNAcentral. Lineage: Eukaryota; Metazoa; Chordata; Mammalia; Primates; Hominidae.
UCAGGGCGGGUGCCGGCUAGGAUGCCGGGUGCGGGGUGCGGGCUUCAGGGUGCGGGCCUCAGGGUGCAGUGUACGGGGUUCAGCCCUGAUCCCUGCCUGACAAAUCCCUACUCAUUUGGAUCACGCGCCCUUCUAAGGCCGGAAGUGGAUCGUGGGCAUGAGGCAGACAAGCUGCAUGGGCUCUGCCUCCACCAAGCAGGAGUUCUUCCGGUCCCAGCCAGCACCUUCCAGUACCCUCUUUUGCUCAGAGCCCCAAGCACAACUGGCUCCCACCUUGGGGGGAUACACUAGGUUGCUGUCAUCCACAGUGG